Molecule: ribosomal RNA, 465 nt
Filed under: uncultured bacterium
Lineage: Bacteria
Description: bacterial SSU rRNA
Rfam family: Bacterial small subunit ribosomal RNA
Source: RNAcentral
GGACCCGCACAAGCGGUGGAUUAUGUGGAUUAAUUCGAUGCAACGCGAAAAACCUUACCUACCCUUGACAUGUCCGGAAGCCUGGUGAGAGCUGGGUGUGCUCGAAAGAGAACCGGAACACAGGUGCUGCAUGGCUGUCGUCAGCUCGUGUCGUGAGAUGUUGGGUUAAGUCCCGCAACGAGCGCAACCCUUGCCAUUAGUUGCCACUGGAAACGGGGCACUCUAAUGGGACUGCCGGUGACAAACCGGAGGAAGGUGGGGAUGACGUCAAGUCCUCAUGGCCCUUAUGGGUAGGGCUUCACACGUAAUACAAUGGCGCGUACAGAGGGUUGCCAAGGAGCGAUCUGGAGCCAAUCCCGCAAAGCGCGUCGUAGUCCGGAUUGCAGUCUGCAACUCGACUGCAUGAAGUCGGAAUCGCUAGUAAUCGCGGAUCAGCAUGUCGCGGUGAAUACGUUCCCGGGUCUU